GCUGACCACUCCUACGGGAGGCAGCAGUGGGGAAUAUUGCACAAUGGGCGCAAGCCUGAUGCAGCCAUGCCGCGUGUAUGAAGAAGGCCUUCGGGUUGUAAAGUACUUUCAGCAGUGAGGAAGGUGGGUAUGUUAAUAGCAUACUCAUUUGACGUUAGCUGCAGAAGAAGCACCGGCUAACUCCGUGCCAGCAGCCGCGGUAAUACGGAGGGUGCGAGCGUUAAUCGGAAUUACUGGGCGUAAAGCGCAUGCAGGUGGUUUGUUAAGUCAGAUGUGAAAGCCCGGGGCUCAACCUCGGAAUUGCAUUUGAAACUGGCAAACUAGAGUACUGUAGAGGGGGUAGAAUUUCAGGUGUAGCGGUGAAAUGCGUAGAGAUCUGAAGGAAUACCGGUGGCGAAGGCGGCCCCCUGGACAGAUACUGACACUCAGAUGCGAAAGCGUGGGGAGCAAACAGGAUUAGAUACCCUGGUAG
This 472-nucleotide ribosomal RNA is filed under the name uncultured bacterium. Its description in RNAcentral is "bacterial SSU rRNA". It matches the Rfam family "Bacterial small subunit ribosomal RNA", at positions 328 to 793 of the family's 1533-position model. The record is from RNAcentral.